AACUAAAAUAUUAUCUUAACCCA
This 23-nucleotide small nuclear RNA is filed under the name Arabidopsis thaliana (thale cress). RNAcentral describes it as "snRNA_08157". The record is from RNAcentral. Lineage: Eukaryota; Viridiplantae; Streptophyta; Magnoliopsida; Brassicales; Brassicaceae.